AACGAACGCUGGCGGCAUGCCUAACACAUGCAAGUCGAACGAGACCUUCGGGUCUAGUGGCGCACGGGUGCGUAACGCGUGGGAACCUUCCCUUAGGUUCGGCAUAACUCCCCGAAAGGGGUGCUAAUACCGGAUAAUGUCUUCUGACCAAAGAUUUAUCGCCUUUGGAUGGUCCCUCGUUGGAUUAGCUAGUUGGUAGGGUAAAAGCCUACCAAGGCGACGAUACAUAGCUGGUCUGAGAGGAUGAUCAGCCACACUGGGACUGAGACACGGCCCAGAAUCCUACGGGAGGGAGGAGUGCGGAAUAGUGGAACAUGGGGGAAAGCAUGAUCGAGCAAUGCCGCGUGAGUGAUGAAGGCAUUAGGGUUGUAAAGCUCUUUUAACCGGGAUGAUAAUGACAGUACCGGGAGAAUAAGCUACGGCUAACUCCGUG
RNAcentral lists this ribosomal RNA (433 nucleotides) under uncultured bacterium. RNAcentral describes it as "partial 16S ribosomal RNA". It matches the Rfam family "Bacterial small subunit ribosomal RNA", at positions 29 to 507 of the family's 1533-position model. The record is from RNAcentral.